This 1275-nucleotide ribosomal RNA is filed under the name Triticum aestivum (bread wheat). Its description in RNAcentral is "partial small subunit ribosomal RNA". The record is from RNAcentral. Lineage: Eukaryota; Viridiplantae; Streptophyta; Magnoliopsida; Poales; Poaceae.
AUGGACCAGCAAGUGUUCCUCGGCGUCUCCUGGGGCAAUUUGCUCACCUACAUGAAGCGCAACAGCGGCAUGGAUCCCGACAUGGAUCUCGACAUGGGCGACUACUAUAACGUGGUGCUCUCCUUCGUGUACGACUACAUCCCCGACCCUCCCGUCUCCCCCACCCCCACACUCCCGCUCUCCGGCUUGCCGCGGGUCCCCGACGGCGUCGACCGCAUCAGCUGCCUCCCGGACAAGGUCCUCCGUAACAUCGUCUCCCGGCUCCCCGCCAAGGAGGCCGCGCGCACCGCCGCCCUCGCCUCGCACUGGCGCCCCCUCUGGCGCUCGGCGCCCCUCGCUCUUGUCGACAGCCACCUGCUCCCGGACGGCGGAGCGCGCGGUCAGCUCGUCUUCGGUGGUCCUUCUCCCCGCGCCGUCACCGCCGCGGUGUCCCGCGUCAUGGCGGCGCACCGGGGUCCCUUCCGCUGCGUCCACCUCACCCGCACCACCAUGGAUGAGCACCGGGGUGAGAUGGCGCGCUGGCUCGACAUCCUCGUCGCCAAGGGGGUCCAGGAACUCGUCUUUGUCAACCGGCCGUGGCCGCUAGAUCUGCGCCUCCCCGCCACGCUCUUCAGCUACGCCUCCCUCACCCGCCUCUAUCUCGGCAUCUGGAGGCUCCCGGACUCCGCCGCCGUACCGCGCGGCGCUAGAUUUCCCAACCUCCGGGAGCUCGGCCUCUGCAUGAUUGCGAUGAAGGACCGUGAUCUGGCCUUGCUGCUGGAAAGAAGCCCCGUCUUGGAGUUCCUCCUCAUCAUGGGAUGUCAGAUCGGAGUGCGCCUUCGCCUCGUCAGCCAAAGCCUGCGGUGCCUUCAGCUCAGCAUGUUCUUCUUGGGCGACAUGGACGUGGUGGAUGCCCCUUGUCUGGAGAGACUUUUUCAGUAUAACACCAACAAGAACCGCUCUUCCAGGAUCAAGAUUGGCCAAGCACCUAAACUUCGAGUUCUGGGAUACCUUGAGCCAGGAGGGCAGGAAUUGAUCAUCGUGGCUGGGAGCAAGGAGAGCAUUGUUCCUAGUGUGCAGAUUUUGGCCAUGGAGGUGCAGUUCGGUGUGCGCAGUGUUGUCAAGAAAGUGCCUGGCUUUCUCAGAUGCUUCCCCAACCUGGAGACGCUCCACGUGCAGUCUCACCACAUAUCUGAAGAGCCCACCAGGAAGGUCAAUGUCAAGUUCUGGCUGCAGGGCGGUCCCAUCAAAUGCGUCGUGGAGAGCAUGAGGAAGGUGUUCUUGUACGAGUUCUGA